This is a long non-coding RNA of Peromyscus maniculatus bairdii (prairie deer mouse), 1187 nucleotides long. RefSeq lists it as uncharacterized. Lineage: Eukaryota; Metazoa; Chordata; Mammalia; Rodentia; Cricetidae. The record is from RefSeq and is a predicted model, not a curated record.
UGCAGAAAAGCUAAGCACAACAAUGUCAAACCAGGUCUCAGACUCUGCCAUGAACCGAACAACUGCAGGACAUGAGAAGACACGUAUGUCCUUUAGAUGGGACAGAGUCAGCCCUGCACACCACCGCAUGCUGCUCCCAUCCAGCUGUCUGUUUUCUCUUCUUGAACAUCAUGCUUCUCGUGUCCCUGAUAAAUGCUUCCCACCCUUCCCAGGGCACUCGGCCUGGAAGAGGGACCCGAGACGGCAACAGAAUUGUCUCUCCAUGCACCUGUGACAUAGAACCUCCGCCCCCUCAAGUAACAGCUGGCUUCAGCACACCCACAGCACGUCUCCCACACUUUGGGUGCUUAGACAGCAGGAGGCCAGGCAAAUGGAGGAACUCAGACUGGGAUGCCCUUGAAUCUGAACCCACACUCUCCUGCUUCCUAGCUUCUCUGGCAGAGGCCACGGAAGACGGAGCUAAGAUACUGGGACCUUGACUUCAAGGUGUGGAAUGUGUGUGGACCCCGAAGCCUCUUCUAUGUCAACCCAAAGAUCUGAGGGCGCCCUGGAAUCUGCAGUAGCCAUUCAAGGGCCACACCUCACAAGCCUUCAUGACAUGGCAAAUAUUGGCUUGGACUCUAUUUGUUUAUUUGUUUAUUUAUUUAUUUUUUUGCUCUGCCUCCCACUCCCCAGCUGCUUCGGCACACUGUCCGUGCCCUAGAAAAAGUAGGCAUUUUUCUUCUGGGGAUUCCAAUCCACCUCACUCAGCAGAUACUCCCCCCCCCUCCCCCCGCCCCACACACACACUGUAGAUCACAGCAGACGACUCUCUGCCUGGCUUCAGGAGCUAGAGACUCCAAGCCUCUUGCUCCAUUUCCCUGAAUCUUUGGAGUUUUUCAACAGAAAAAAACCCAAAACAAACAAACAAAAAAAACCAAACAACAACAAAAAUAAAAGCAAAAAUAAAACUGGGUUGUGAUUCUGUUACCAGCUCUUAACCUUGACUACACGAGAAUUACCACAGAUUAAAAAAAAAAAAAAAAACAACAAACCAAAAACCAAAAACCCACCAGAGAGCCUCUCACGCCCCUGCUAAGAUUAGAAGCUGAGGUUACAAAGUCAUUUCUGUACAAAUCUACCAUUAACAAAAUGUUAAUGUUAAUCUAACAUUAACAAAACACAUAGUACUAAAUUUCCAUUUACUC